Molecule: ribosomal RNA, 490 nt
Filed under: uncultured bacterium
Lineage: Bacteria
Description: bacterial SSU rRNA
Rfam family: Bacterial small subunit ribosomal RNA
Source: RNAcentral
UUGAACGCUGGCGGCAGGCCUAACACAUGCAAGUCGAACGGUAACAGGAAGCAGCUUGCUGCUUCGCUGACGAGUGGCGGACGGGUGAGUAAUGUCUGGGAAGCUGCCUGAUGGAGGGGGAUAACUACUGGAAACGGUAGCUAAUACCGCAUAAUGUCGCAAGACCAAAGAGGGGGGACCUUCGGGCCUCUUGCCAUCGGAUGUGCCCAGAUGGGAUUAGCUUGUUGGUGGGGUAACGGCUCACCAAGGCGACGAUCCCUAGCUGGUCUGAGAGGAUGACCAGCCACACUGGAACUGAGACACGGUCCAGACUCCUACGGGAGGCAGCAGUGGGGAAUAUUGCACAAUGGGCGCAAGCCUGAUGCAGCCAUGCCGCGUGUAUGAAGAAGGCCUUCGGGUUGUAAAGUACUUUCAGCGGGGAGGAAGGGAGUAAAGUUAAUACCUUUGCUCAUUGACGUUACCCGCAGAAGAAGCACCGGCUAACUCCGUG